AGAAGUUCCCAAGCCAGGGAUCAAACCUGAGCCACUACAGUGACACCAGAUCCUUAACUCACUGCACCACAAGGGAACUCCAUGAUUGUUCUUAAUGGCAUCUUAAAUGGUGAAUUCUUUCAAGAAGUUUUGCAAUUUACUUUUCCAGAUCCAUCAGAGGAAUCACUAUGUACAGCAGCUAUAGCCUUAUGAAAUUAUAUUUCUUAAAUAAUAAGACUUGAUAGUUGAAAUUACUCCUUGAUCCAUGGGCUACAAAAAUGGACAGUUAGCAGGCAUGAAAACAACAUUAAUCUCAUUACACAUCUCCUUCAGAGCUCAUGGGUGACUAGAUGCAUUGUCAAUGAGCAGUAAUAUUUCUAAAAGAAUAUUUUUUUUGAGCAGUAGGUCUCAGUCAUGGGCUUAAAAUAGUAAAUCGUGUUAUAAUUAUAUGUGCUGGAAUUUGGGCUUUAUUGUUUCAUUUCCAGAGCAUAGACAGAGUAGAAUUAGGGGGUCACUGGAUAUUCAAAAUGGUAAAUGAGCACCAGCUUCAACUUCAAGUCACCACCUACACUAGCCUCUAACAAGAGUCUGUCUGUCCUUUGAAGCCAGGCAUGACUUCUCCUCUCUAGUUAUGAAAGUCCCAGAUGGUAUCUUACUCCAAUAUAAGCCUGUUUUGUUUACAGUGAAAAUUUCUUGUAGCCACCUUCAUUAAUUAUCUUAGCUAGAUUUUCUGGAAAUUUUGCCGCAGCUUCUAUUAUCAACUCUUGCUGCUUUACCUUGUACUUUUAUGUUAUGGAGACAUUUUAAAUUUUAUGUUAAAUUUCAUACCAGCCUCUGCUGGCUUUAAGCUUUUCUUCUGCAGCUUCCACACCUCUCUCAGCUUUCAUGGAAUUGAAGAUGGUUAAAGCCUUGCUCUGAGUUAGACUCUGACUGGAGGGCAUGUUAUGGCUGGUUUGAUCCUCUAUCUGGACCACUAAAACUUUCUCCACAUCAACAAUAAAGCUGUUUCACUUUCUUGUCAUUUGUGUGUUCACUGGAGUAGCAUUUUUUUGGGGGGUGGGGGGCUGCACUUGAGGCAUGCAGAAGUUUCCAGACUAGGGAUCGAACCUGCUCUAUGGCAGUAACCAGAGCCACAGCAGUGACAACACUAGAUCCUUCAUAUGCUAAGCCACCAGGGAACUCCUGGAGUAGCACUUUUAAUUUCUUUCCAGAACAUUUCCUUUGUAUUCACAACUUGGUUAACUGGUGAAAGAGGCCUAGCUUUUGGCCUAUCUUAGCUUUCCCUGUGCCUUUCUCACUAAGCUUAAUCAUUUCUAGCUUUUAAUUUAAAGUGAGAAAUAUGUGACUCUUCCUUUCACUUGAAUACUUAGAGACUAUUCUGAGGUUAUUAACUGGCCUAAUUUCAAUAUUGUUGUGUCUUAGGGAACAGGAAGGCCCAAGGAGAGAGAGAGAUACAGGGAACAUUUAUCGGUUAAGCCUACCAUCUUAUAUGAGCAUGGCUCGUGACUCCCCAAAAUAACUGCAAUACUAACAUCAAGGAUCACUGAUCAUAAAUCACCAUAACAAAUGUAAUAAUAAUUUUAAAAAAAAGCUUGAAAUACUGCGUAAUUACAAAAAUCGACACAGAGACAAGAGAUGAGCAAAUGCUGUUGGAAAAAAAUGACACCAAUCGACUUGCUCAAUGAAGGGUUGCCACAGACCUUCAAUUUGUAAAAAACAGUAUUGACAAAGCACAAUAAAACAAGAUAUGCCUGUAUGUGGGAAAUCUCUGUACUUUCCUAUUUCAUUACACCUAAAGCUGCUCUUUAAAUGCCUUUUUAAAAAGAAGAAGAACGAUGAGAGAUAAGGAAAGGAAAGAGAAAGAGAGCACAUAUACAGAAGGCUACAGUCCUCAUUUACACAAAUGGCCAAGAAGCCAUAGUGGAAUUUUUUUUUCUUCCUUUUUAGGGCCACACCCAUGGCAUAUGGAAGUUUCCAGGCUAGGGGUCGAAUAGGAGCUGCAGCUGCCGGCCUACACCACAACCACAACAAUUGUGGGAUCAGAGCAGCGUCUGCAACCUACACCACAGCUCAUAGCAAUGCUGGAUCCCCGACCCACUAAGUGAGGCCAGGGAUUGAACCCACAUCCUUAUGGACCCUAGUCAGAUUCGUUUCCACUGUGCCACGAAGGGAACUACCCCCACAGCGGACAUUUUAACUCCCCUCCUCUACUCACUUAAGCUAUGGUUGCCUUUGCCCAGUGUAAGUCAGUUAAAGAUCUUUUCCUGGACAAGUGACUCAAAUUUUGAUUCCUGAGGUAUCCUAGCCUGCUUUAUUUUUUGAAACUUAAUAACUGGGCAUGUAAAAGGAAGAUUCUAGACUCUGUGUAAACCUCACUUACAGCAGUUAACUCUAAUUUACCUUUGAUAACCACUGCCAAUAACAUCAACCAAUACUAGAAGCCUAAUUUCUCUAGCUGUGAAUUGCGUUUUUUGACUGAUCACAAUGUUUUAUGAAACAUAGCAAUAGUACCAAAAACAAAGGCAUUCAAUGAUUCCACAGAUUAUAUCAAUGGUAGAAUUAUGACAAAAAAAGAAAUGGCAAAUAAUGCAGAUUAAAUGUCAGUUUUAAUAAUUAAGAAAUGUUUUCCCCAAGGCUUCCAGAUAAAGAUGGCAAGUUCAACAUAAUAAUUCAAUUUCACUUCCUCUGAAAUUCCACUAAAACCACAGUAAAGGUAUAUUUUUAAAACCCAUAAACUCAUAAAUCCAGAAAGAAGAGAAAAGGAGACAACAGCAAUAAAACUGUGGACACUGGAAUGCAGAAAAAGUGACUUCGAAUAUAGUGGGAAAAGCCAAGAACUAAGUUGAUGUGUAUCACAGACUCUUCCAAAGGCUCAGGAGCUAAGUGGACUUCCAGAAGUGGGAGGUGGGGAGUAGUAAGAAGGGAUAUUAAAUAAGCAAUGAUAGAAUACAGAUAUGUUUUGGGGGUUCUUUUGGUCUUUUUAAGGGCCUACCCCCAGCAUAUGGAAGUUCCCAGGCUAGGGGUUGAAUCAGAGCUGUAGCUGCUGGCCUGCACCACACCCACAGCCACAAUAAUGUGGAUCCGAGCUGCAUCUGCCACCAACACCACAGCUCACAGCUCACAGUGGAUCCUUAACCCACUGAGCAGGGCCAGGGAUCCAACCCGCGUCGUCAUGGAUAUUAAUCAGGUUUGUUACCUCUGAGCCACAAUGGGAACUCCAUGAAUGCAGUUUUAAAAUACAUUCCCCACCCCUAGAGGAGUGCUGGCUGGGCUUGGUGACUUUCUUCCAAAAAACAGGGUAUGGAAAGAAAGAUACAAGUAACUAGAGAAACCAGAGACACCACUUUAGCCAAGUGAGCACUCAGGGUUAAGGUCACCAGUCAUAAGUCGUGUUGCUGUCAUGGACUCCUGAUAGGAUACAAUGAAAAAGGCAGUUCAUCCCUGUGACUUUCUUCCUCCAUAUUCCUGAUGUAAUCAUGGCAAACCCAAACAUUAGGCAAACUCAAAUUGAAGGACAGCCUAUAAACUACCUGACCAGGACUCUUCAAAACCGCCAAGACCAUGGAAGACAAAGAAAAAACUGUCACAGCUUGGAGACCAAGGGAGCAUGAUUACUGAAUGCAGUGUAAUAUCCUGAAACAGAGAAAGGGAACUGGCGAAAAAACUGUUGAAAUCCAAAUAAAGUCUGCGGUGAUGUUUUCACAGUGUUGCACUCACGGCAAUUUCUUGGUUUUGGUAAAUGCCGCUGGAUUAUGGAAGAUAUUACCAUUCAGGGAAGCUUGGGGAAGAGUAUACCCAAGCCUGUACCAUCUUUGCAAAUUUUUGUAAAUCAAAAUUAUUUCAAAAUAAAAAAAUUUUAAAUAUUAAAAAAAAAGAAAAGGAGCUAGAGUGCUAGCUCCCCUCCCUCAUGGUAUUAACUCCUACAGAAAACUGGAACUGGUGGCAGAAUGAUGGAACAGCUGUGGGAACAGGUACCCAACUGGGAAACAGGAGGACCAUCUAAGCAUGUGGACACUGAAUGAUAAAAGCCAGUACCAGCCUUAGAACUGGGCGCAUGGGCCCCACUAGUUAAGAGAGCCCCACCUAUCAGAGAGAUAGAGAAAAUAAGUUCAUGAAAGACCAUAUGGGUAUCCUUAUCAAGUCGCCGCACUCAGCACUGGCAUAGUACCAUCUGUAACUUUAAAUAUGUCCCUUUUGUGCCUCUAACUUCAUUUGAGCCCCAGGGAGAUGCUUCUCUACAUCUCUUGCUCUUGUCCUCCUUUCUCCUCUAAAUAAAAGGUGACUGUUCCUGAAUGCUGUGUAGGUGUGUGGGUUGUGCUCUUAUGUCAGACAGACUUUGCUAUGGAAAGAAUGUGAACAGCAGAAGCACUUCGCUAAGAGAAAAUACAAAUUAAUUAGUUUGACAAAUCGUUCUGAGAGCCUGUGUGAAAUAGAUACUUAUGUAUUAAAUUCUCAGAGCAUCGGAUGUCCAUUUUUUUUAUUUCAUUUUGAAUUCCAGUUGGAGGAUCCAGUGACAUUCGCUAAUUAACAUACUAUUCAGCACCAUUAUGCAUGACAGCUGAGAAACAUUUUGCAGUAUUAAAUAAUUCAUAUUACUUUUUUUGGCUGUGCCCACAGCAUAUGGAAGUUCCCAGGCCAGGGGUCAAACCCAGCACCUCUACAAUGACCUGAGCCACUGCAGAGACCACAUCAGAUCCUUAACUUGCUGCAUCACAGCGAGAACUCCCAUAUUACUCUCUUGAUGUUGUUUUAUUUUUUUAAUUUUUUAUUAUAGUUGAUUUACAAUCCCAUAUUACUUAAGUCUGUGUGUACAUAUAUCUAGAUGUAGAAAGUGUGAAGUGAACUGUAUAUUUCACAGUGAAUGAUGGAUAGUGAUUCUAGGAUUGCUAUUUGUUUUACUUUUACAAAAUUUUUAACGAUUUAAAUAAAAUGUUAAAUUUGAAUUACCAGACAAGCAACGAGAGAAAGCAUGAGAUGACUUCUCAGUUCUCUCUCUCGAUAAGUUACAGUUUCCUCAAGCAAGGUUUGCACAACAGGUAACACUUAUCCAAUGUUUCUCAAACCCGAGGCAAUUUCCUUCCCUGCCUCACCUUGGGGACAGGCAUUUGGCAAUACCUGGAGACGUUUUUGACUGCCAUGAUUCAAGGAUGGGCUGCUACUGGUGUCUGGUAGGUAGAGGCCAAGAAUGCUGCUAAACAUCUCACAAUGCACAGGGCAGCCCCCCACAACAACAAAAAAUCCAUUCCAAAAUGUUAAUAGUGCCACAGUUGUGAACUCUGUUUUACGUACGUCCAGGAGUCUGGGGUUCUCUAAGCCUUGUUGUCUCUCACAUACUGCUAUUCCAGUUGUCAAGACCCCACUCUUCCCUAAUCUAAUUUAACCUGACAUUCACAAAAUGUCUAGCAAAGUAUGUGAACUCAUGUACUAAUAUAAUUUGCCAAAUCAUGGAAUCAAUCUCUGAAUAUGGUAGUUACCUCAGCCAUAUGACUACAAGCUGCAAGAGAUUUUUUACAACAUUAUCCCAUAAAGGCUUUAAGUUUCAUUCCAUUAAGGCAACGCUUUUGCAAUGUGAGUAUGUCACCCGCUUGCUUUAAAUUAUCCCAUGCCAUUAAAGGCAUCUAUCAUGGCUCAAUCACUCCUGUACCCCUUUUUAAUUAGUCUAUGGCAGCAGCUAUCUGAUUCACCAGAGCUUUCUUCUCAGUGAGUACACAGUCCCACAUAACCUACAAGAUAACUUCAUUAGCUAUUUUUCAAUCUCAUAGUAUGGAAUACCACUUUACCACCAUGGAGUAUGAAGGGAAGUCUCUGCAUUUUGCCUGACCUCUAUGUAAUGACCAUUUCCCUGAGGUCAUGUUGUCUGCAAUCCACUGUCUGGAACCACUAGACAGUAAGCUCCGUGGAGGGAGGGACCACACCUGUAUUAUCAAUCACUGUAUCCCCAGUGCCUAGGCUGUACUUGGCACAUAGCAGGUACCUAGUUAAAUUUGCUGAAAGAAUUAAUAAAGUCAAAUGUCAGUUCCUCUAAGAAACUUUUUUUACUACAAUGCUUAUUACAUAUUUUUCUUCAUCUGUUUUUCCUCCUCAGCUGAGUCUCUCGAGACAGAGGCCUAAUAAUAAAGAUAUGUAGUAACCUAGUAACCAAGGUACAAGAAAGACCUUUCAAACAACUCAAAUAAUAAAACCAGCAUCUCCACUACCAGUGCCAAAAGAGACAGCAUUAAAGAACUGAGAACUUAAGAAUUUACAGGCUUUUCACAUAGGGAAGUAAAGCUGUGGAAAGGCUGGAACAGCUUAGGUUUCUAAGUACAUGCAGAACUUGUCUCUAAGAGAUAACCAAACUGCUUUCACGCCUACCAAAAAAAAAAAAAAAAAAAAAAAAAAAAAGACCUCCAUGGAGUUCCCGUCAUGGCUCAGUGGUUAACGAAUCUGACUAGGAACCAUGAGGUUGCGGGUCCGAUCCCUGGCCUUGCUCAGUGGGUUAAGGAUCUGGUGUUGCCGUGAGCUGUGGUGUAGGCUGCAGAUGUGGCUCAGAUCCCGCGUGGCUGUGGCCCUGGCGUAGGCCGGUGGCUACAGGUCCGAUUAGACCCCUAGCCUGGGAACCUCCAUAUGCCAGGGGAGAGGCCCCAGAAAAGGCAAAAAG
This 6619-nucleotide long non-coding RNA is filed under the name Sus scrofa (pig). Its description in RNAcentral is "lncRNA (ENSSSCG00000056817.1, ENSSSCG00130037898.1)". The record is from RNAcentral. Lineage: Eukaryota; Metazoa; Chordata; Mammalia; Artiodactyla; Suidae.